GACGAACGCUGGCGGCGUGCUUAACACAUGCAAGUCGAACGGAAAGGCCCUGCUUGCAGGGUACUCGAGUGGCGAACGGGUGAGUAACACGUGGGUGAUCUGCCCUGCACUUCGGGAUAAGCCUGGGAAACUGGGUCUAAUACCGGAUAGGAGCCAUUUUUAGUGUGAUGGUUGGAAAGUUUUUUCGGUGUAGGAUGAGCUCGCGGCCUAUCAGCUUGUUGGUGGGGUAAUGGCCUACCAAGGCGGCGACGGGUAGCCGGCCUGAGAGGGUGGACGGCCACAUUGGGACUGAGAUACGGCCCAGACUCCUACGGGAGGCAGCAGUGGGGAAUAUUGCACAAUGGGCGCAAGCCUGAUGCAGCGACGCCGCGUGGGGGAUGACGGCCUUCGGGUUGUAAACUCCUUUCGCUAGCGACGAAGCUUUUUGUGACGGUACCUAGAUAAGAAGCACCGGCUAACUACGUG
RNAcentral lists this ribosomal RNA (465 nucleotides) under uncultured bacterium. Its description in RNAcentral is "partial 16S ribosomal RNA". It matches the Rfam family "Bacterial small subunit ribosomal RNA", at positions 28 to 507 of the family's 1533-position model. The record is from RNAcentral.